RNAcentral lists this small RNA (1964 nucleotides) under Pongo abelii (Sumatran orangutan). RNAcentral's name for it is "retained intron". Lineage: Eukaryota; Metazoa; Chordata; Mammalia; Primates; Hominidae. The record is from RNAcentral.
GUGCUCUCAGAAAUCAUGAGAGCUUACCAGAGAGAGGAAGAGAAGAAUAUUUGGUAAAACAAUGCCCAUUUUAUUCCACAAAGUAUUUGAGAUGAACAUAUGGAGUGGUUAGUCAUUGACUACAUGGCUGGAACUGGCAGAUGAGGCUAAAAAGUUAAUUUUAGCCCAUAUUGUGAAAGACCUUGUGGAUCAGGAAUUUAUAUUGCAGUGAGGAGUUGUUCAUUUUUAACAAGGGGAGUGACACAAUCCAAUUUACAUCUUAGAAAACUAACUCUGGUGGUAGUGUGGAGGAGAGAUCAGAGGGGAGGAUUCCCAACUAGGAGAAAAUUAGGAAGCAGUUCAAUUUUCUUAGAUAGUGAAAGAUGAGAAGAGUUGAAAAAAGAGGCUACCAGGAAUGGCCAGAAAGACAGUUAUGAAAUUCUUGGUGUACUAUGCUGGUGAUCUGGCCAAUGUUUUCUUUAUCAUCACAGUGGGAACAGGUCUUUACUGGCUUAUUUUCUUCAAAGCACAGAAGUCUGUCUCUGUUUUACUACCAAUGCCAGUUCAGGAAGAACGUUUUGUCACUUACGUUGGAUGUGCCUUUGCUCUGAAGGCGCUACAAUUUUUGCAUAAGCUCAUAUCCCAGAUUACAGUAGAUAUAUUCUUUAUUGAUUGGGAGCGACCUAAAGGAAAGGUUCUUAAAGCUGUUGAAGGUGAGGGUGGUGUACGAAGUGCCACUGUUCCUGUAAGCAUAUGGAGAACAUAUUUUAUAGCAAAUGAAUGGAAUGAAAUUCAGACUGUGAGAAAAAUUAAUUCACUCUUUCAAGUACUUACUGUCCUCUUCUUUUUGGAGGUUGUGGGAUUCAAGAACUUAGCAUUAAUGGACUCAUCUUCCAGUCUUUCUAGAAGCCCACCUAGCUACAUAGCUCCUUAUAGCCGCAUUUUGAGAUAUGCAGUGUCUGCUGCUCUUUGGCUAGCCAUUGGAAUUAUACAGGUCAUGUUCUUUGCUGUCUUUUAUGAGAGAUUUAUAGAAGAUAAAAUUCGACAGUUUGUUGAUUUGUGCUCUAUGAGUAAUAUAUCAGUGUUUCUGCUAUCCCACAAAUGUUUUGGAUAUUACAUUCAUGGUAGAUCAGUACAUGGGCAUGCAGAUACUAAUAUGGAAGAAAUGAAUAUGAACCUUAAAAGAGAAGCGGAAAAUUUGUGUAGCCAGAGAGGUUUGGUACCCAACACAGAUGGUCAGACUUUUGAGAUUGCGAUUUCUAACCAGAUGAGACAACAUUAUGACAGAAUUCAUGAGACACUAAUAAGGAAAAAUGGUCCUGCUAGACUAUUGAGUUCAUCAGCAAGUACUUUUGAGCAGAGUAUAAAAGCAUAUCAUAUGAUGAAUAAAUUUCUUGGCUCCUUCAUUGACCAUGUUCAUAAGGAAAUGGAUUACUUUAUAAAAGAUAAGUUGCUUCUUGAAAGAAUUCUUGGAAUGGAAUUCAUGGAACCAAUGGAAAAAAGCAUCUUUUACAAUGAUGAAGGUUAUUCUUUCAGCAGUGUCCUGUAUUAUGGAAAUGAAGCUACCCUUCUUAUUUUUGAUCUGCUGUUCUUCUGUGUUGUGGAUUUGGCUUGCCAAAAUUUUAUUUUAGCAUCCUUCCUUACAUAUCUACAACAAGAGAUUUUUAGAUAUAUCCGUAAUACAGUAGGACAAAAGAAUUUGGCAUCCAAAACAUUGGUGGAUCAAAGAUUUUUGAUUUAACUUCCUGAAUAAAUAACUUAAAGACUCAAUAUAAUCAUGGCCAAAAAAAAGUCAUGAUAUCAGGUUAGUUUGCCAUAUUUUUUAAAACUUAUAAUGCAAACUAUUCUGUUUUUGUUUUUUAUUUGCAGAGAGAUUUAUUUGUAUAACUUGGGAAUAUAUAAUGUGAUAUAAUAGAAAAUACUGUUUUCCCAUUGUGUGUGGUAUUUAAUGCAGUAAAUAAUAAAUUAAUACUGACAGUGAGGCC